GUCUUUUAGAAAUUAAUUAAAAGUCUAAUCUGCCCAAUGAUUAAAAUUUAAAUGGCCGCGGUAAAUUGACCGUGCAAAGGUAGCAUAAUAAUUAGUCUUUUAAUUGAAGGCUUGAAUGAAUGAUUGAAUGAAAAAUUAACUUAAUUAAUAUUAUAAGUUGAAAUUAUUUUUUAAGUAAAAAAACUUAAAUAUAUAAAUGGGACGAGAAGACCCUAUAGAAUUUUAAAUAUAUUAAAGUUUAUUUAUUAUAGUUAUUUAUAUAAUUUACUGUGAUAUUUUUUUUGUUGGGGUGAUAUUAAAAUACAAUUAACUUUUAAUUUAAGUUUCAUAAAUUUAUGUAAAUAUUGAUCCAAUUUUUUUGAUUAAAAGAAUGAAUUACCUUAGGGAUAACAGCGUAAUUAAUUUGGAGAGUUCAUAUCGAUAAAUGAGAUUGCGACCUCGAUGUUGGAUUAAGAAUAGAAAUUAAAGCAGUAUUUAUUAUUUCUAGGUCUGUUCGACCAUUAAAUUCUUACA
This 513-nucleotide ribosomal RNA is filed under the name Froggattoides typicus. RNAcentral's name for it is "partial 16S ribosomal RNA". The stretch from base 386 to 513 matches the Rfam family "Archaeal large subunit ribosomal RNA", at positions 2542 to 2669 of the family's 2987-position model. The record is from RNAcentral. Lineage: Eukaryota; Metazoa; Arthropoda; Insecta; Hemiptera; Cicadidae.